This 468-nucleotide ribosomal RNA is filed under the name uncultured bacterium. RNAcentral describes it as "partial 16S ribosomal RNA". It matches the Rfam family "Bacterial small subunit ribosomal RNA", at positions 28 to 507 of the family's 1533-position model. The record is from RNAcentral.
GACGAACGCUGGCGGCGUGCUUAAUACAUGCAAGUCGAGCGGACAGGCCCGGCUUUUGUUGGUUGCUCGUUUGCCGAACGCGUGAGUAACACAUGAGUAUCCUGUCCUUAUCUUUCUGAUAACUUCUGGGGACUGGGGCGCAUAUCGGGUAGGAUCUCCUGCUGCGUGUUGUUGGUUGGUAAAAUUCGGCGUUGGUGGAUGUACUCGCUGGAUAUCAGCUUGUUUGUGGGGUAGUGACUUACCAAGGCUUUGACGGGUACGCGGCCUGAGCGGGUGACCGGCCACCUUGGGACUGACAUACGGCACAGACUCCUACGGGAGGCAGCAGUGCGGAAUAUUGCACAAUGGGCGGAAGCCUGAUGAAGAAACGCCGCGUGUCGGAUGACGGCGUUAGGGGUGUAAAACGAUUUCGCAUGUGACGAAGCGUGAGUGAAGGUAAUGGAUAAAGAAGCACCGGCUAACUACGUG